UAAAGAGUAGUAAAGUGGAAAUACAGAGGGUUUUGAUCUCUCAGUCAUAGGUUCAAUUCCUAUCUCUUUA
RNAcentral lists this transfer RNA (70 nucleotides) under Allobates zaparo (sanguine poison frog). RNAcentral describes it as "tRNA-Gln". It matches the Rfam family "tRNA". Rfam says of the family: Transfer RNA (tRNA) molecules are approximately 80 nucleotides in length. Their secondary structure includes four short double-helical elements and three loops (D, anti-codon, and T loops). Further hydrogen bonds mediate the characteristic L-shaped molecular structure. tRNAs have two regions of fundamental functional importance: the anti-codon, which is responsible for specific mRNA codon recognition, and the 3' end, to which the tRNAs corresponding amino acid is attached (by aminoacyl-tRNA synthetases). tRNAs cope with the degeneracy of the genetic code in two manners: having more than one tRNA (with a specific anti-codon) for a particular amino acid; and 'wobble' base-pairing, i.e. permitting non-standard base-pairing at the 3rd anti-codon position. The record is from RNAcentral. Lineage: Eukaryota; Metazoa; Chordata; Amphibia; Anura; Aromobatidae.